RNAcentral lists this ribosomal RNA (254 nucleotides) under uncultured bacterium. RNAcentral's name for it is "partial 16S ribosomal RNA". It matches the Rfam family "Bacterial small subunit ribosomal RNA", at positions 524 to 776 of the family's 1533-position model. The record is from RNAcentral.
UACAGAGGGGGCAAGCGUUGUUCGGAAUUACUGGGCGUAAAGGGCGCGUAGGCGGCCAGCACAGGUCAGUUGUGAAAUCUCCGAGCUUAACUCGGAAAGGUCAACUGAUACUGUGCGGCUAGAGUGCGGAAGGGGCAACUGGAAUUCUUGGUGUAGCGGUGAAAUGCGUAGAUAUCAAGAGGAACACCUGCGGCGAAGGCGGGUUGCUGGGCCGACAUUGACGCUGAUGCGCGAAAGCUAGGGGAGCGAACGGG